AAUUAUUAUUCAUUACCUCACCCUUCUCAACCUAAUUCUCCCCUCUCCUCUUCGCCGACACAACCCACCCCCGUGCCCUAAGCCUUGGCGACACCCUCGGUGGAUGACGCCACAAGGAGCAUACUUCAGCGACCACCCUUCACAGCCGGUGUGUCGUCCUGUGGACUAGGGUUCCCGUCAGUGAUACAAGAAGAGGAAAAGGCAAGUAGAUUCCCUUGUAGGUGAGGAAGAUGUCAUCCCGAAUGUGACAGGGGACACGGAGGCAGAGUAGCUAAGGAGAUGAGGUUGAAUGCAUCAUACACUGUCCAGGGGCUCUCAGUGUUUAUUGUUAUCCUUUUUCUUUAGAUUUGUUAUGUUAGUAUGAGAUGAAGACUACUUGUUGACUUGCAUUGGUAGGAGUUCACAAAUGUCUUUGGGAAAUAUGUUUUCUUAUUAUCUCUUUUACCUUUGAAAUUUUAGACAAAUAUAAGAUGCAAAUAUGUUUCCUUUC
Long non-coding RNA from Zingiber officinale, 490 nucleotides. RefSeq lists it as uncharacterized. The record is from RefSeq and is a predicted model, not a curated record. The transcript has 2 exons. NCBI's taxonomy places the organism in Eukaryota, Viridiplantae, Streptophyta, Magnoliopsida, Zingiberales, Zingiberaceae.